CAGCAACAAUGCCCAGGGCUCUGAUGUGUCUCUCUCAGCUCCUACAAGGUGACAGAGCUGCUUUCUAUGGGACUUGGUGUAAAACAGUCAUUGCAGCCCCCGCCCCCAAUGGGACUUUAAGGGUCCCUGACUGCUGUUUCUGCCCCCAGCAUUGGAAUGUUAUUUAAUCAUCUCAACAUUUCUGCAUUAUUUUAAUAUUAGUGAUAUGUAUGUGU
Phyllostomus discolor (pale spear-nosed bat) is the source of this 215-nucleotide long non-coding RNA. RefSeq lists it as uncharacterized. The transcript is spliced from 2 exons. Lineage: Eukaryota; Metazoa; Chordata; Mammalia; Chiroptera; Phyllostomidae. The record is from RefSeq and is a predicted model, not a curated record.